RNAcentral lists this ribosomal RNA (492 nucleotides) under uncultured bacterium. RNAcentral's name for it is "partial 16S ribosomal RNA". It matches the Rfam family "Bacterial small subunit ribosomal RNA", at positions 29 to 507 of the family's 1533-position model. The record is from RNAcentral.
AGUGAACGCUGGCGGUAGGCCUAACACAUGCAAGUCGAACGGCAGCACAGUAAGAGCUUGCUCUUACGGGUGGCGAGUGGCGGACGGGUGAGGAAUACAUCGGAAUCUACUUUUUCGUGGGGGAUAACGUAGGGAAACUUACGCUAAUACCGCAUACGACCUACGGGUUAAAUCAUGGGAUCUUCGGACCUUGCGCGAUUGAAUGAGCCGAUGUCGGAUUAGCUAGUUGGCGGGGUAAAGGCCCACCAAGGCGACGAUCCGUAGCUGGUCUGAGAGGAUGAUCAGCCACACUGGAACUGAGACACGGUCCAGACUCCUACGGGAGGCAGCAGUGGGGAAUAUUGGACAAUGGGCGCAAGCCUGAUCCAGCCAUACCGCGUGGGUGAAGAAGGCCUUCGGGUUGUAAAGCCCUUUUGUUGGGAAAGAAAAGCAGCAGGUUAAUACCCCGCUGUUCUGACGGUACCCAAAGAAUAAGCACCGGCUAACUUCGUG